This 253-nucleotide ribosomal RNA is filed under the name uncultured bacterium. Its description in RNAcentral is "partial 16S ribosomal RNA". It matches the Rfam family "Bacterial small subunit ribosomal RNA", at positions 524 to 776 of the family's 1533-position model. The record is from RNAcentral.
UACGUAGGGUGCGAGCGUUAAUCGGAAUUACUGGGCGUAAAGCGUGCGCAGGCGGUUUUGUAAGCCAGAUGUGAAAUCCCCGGGCUUAACCUGGGAAUGGCAUUUGGGACUGCAAGGCUUGAGUGCGGCAGAGGAGACUGGAAUUCCUGGUGUAGCAGUGAAAUGCGUAGAUAUCAGGAGGAAUACCGAUGGCGAAGGCAGGUCUCUGGGCUGACACUGGCGCUCAUGCACGAAAGCGUGGGGAGCAAACAGG